RNAcentral lists this ribosomal RNA (1152 nucleotides) under uncultured bacterium. Its description in RNAcentral is "bacterial SSU rRNA". It matches the Rfam family "Bacterial small subunit ribosomal RNA", at positions 192 to 1352 of the family's 1533-position model. The record is from RNAcentral.
UUUGGUUGUGGAAAGUUUUUUCGGUUGGGGAUGGGCUCGCGGCCUAUCAGUUUGUUGGUGAGGUAAUGGCUCACCAAGACGACGACGGGUAGCCGGCCUGAGAGGGCGACCGGCCACACUGGGACUGAGACACGGCCCAGACUCCUACGGGAGGCAGCAGUGGGGAAUAUUGCACAAUGGGGGAAACCCUGAUGCAGCGACGCAGCGUGCGGGAUGACGGCCUUCGGGUUGUAAACCGCUUUCAGCAGGGAAGAAGCCCUUCGGGGUGACGGUACCUGCAGAAGAAGUACCGGCUAACUACGUGCCAGCAGCCGCGGUAAUACGUAGGGUACAAGCGUUGUCCGGAAUUAUUGGGCGUAAAGAGCUCGUAGGUGGUUGGUCACGUCUGCUGUGGAAACGCAACGCUUAACGUUGCGCGUGCAGUGGGUACGGGCUGACUAGAGUGCAGUAGGGGAGUCUGGAGUUCCUGGUGUAGCGGUGAAAUGCGCAGAUAUCAGGAGGAACACCGGUGGCGAAGGCGGGACUCUGGGCUGUAACUGACACUGAGGAGCGAAAGCAUGGGGAGCGAACAGGAUUAGAUACCCUGGUAGUCCAUGCCGUAAACGUUGGGCACUAGGUGUGGGGGACAUUCCACGUUCUCCGCGCCGUAGCUAACGCAUUAAGUGCCCCGCCUGGGGAGUACGGUCGCAAGGCUAAAACUCAAAGGAAUUGACGGGGGCCCGCACAAGCGGCGGAGCAUGCGGAUUAAUUCGAUGCAACGCGAAGAACCUUACCAAGGCUUGACAUACACCAGACCGUUCUGGAAACAGUUCCUCCCCUUUGGGGUUGGUGUACAGGUGGUGCAUGGUUGUCGUCAGCUCGUGUCGUGAGAUGUUGGGUUAAGUCCCGCAACGAGCGCAACCCUCGUUCUAUGUUGCCAGCACGUAAUGGUGGGAACUCAUAGGAGACUGCCGGGGUCAACUCGGAGGAAGGUGGGGAUGACGUCAAAUCAUCAUGCCCUUUAUGUCUUGGGCUUCACGCAUGCUACAAUGGCUGGUACAGAGAGAUGCGAGACCGCGAGGUUUUAGCGAAUCCCUUAAAGCCAGUCUCAGUUCGGAUCGUAGUCUGCAAUUCGACUACGUGAAGUCGGAGUCGCUAGUAAUCGCAGAUCAG